Equus caballus (horse) is the source of this 2549-nucleotide non-coding RNA. The record is from RefSeq and is a predicted model, not a curated record. NCBI's taxonomy places the organism in Eukaryota, Metazoa, Chordata, Mammalia, Perissodactyla, Equidae.
ACAGACAGGAGCCUUUGGCUCCUCAUGGCCUGGACUGCUCCUGGUGAUGAGGUCUGCCUGGUGGGGAUGGGAGAAGGGCCCUGAGUACCCUUCUGACCCGAGGCCAGGCCUAUUCUGCCAGCUGGCGGGAAGGGACAGGGAGCUGCGGCCUGAUUCCCCUCGGCCAUGCGGCCCUGCUUCUUGCUCGUGGGGCUGGCUCUGAGAUCUAGGCUCAGGAAAGAGGGAACUUCUCACCGCCUGGCCCCCCUGCCAGUGGCCCCGUGGCUGUGGUCGCUGGUGGUCCCCAGUGGCCGGGAUCGCUGCCGGCAGGCAGUUCACACAGCUGCCGUGCGCGGCAGCCAGACUCCUCGGCAACUCCCCAGCGCCGAGAGAAUAUUCCAGGACAGCUUGGAGUCAUUAGGUACUCUCUGCUCACUGCUUGUGAUGAAAGCUGGGUUUCAGGCCCAGGGCCUCUCCUGCUGCCCGCCUUUCUCUCAUUCCCCCAAAUAGCUGGCAAGCCUUGUGAGGAGAGGGGAUGGGAAUGUUGCUCAGCCCCCAACAUCGCUUGCAUUCUCCAGAUUGAUUUCACUCUUCUCCCCAUUCUUCCUUUUCCUGCUGCUCAAUUUGAAAUGAACCACUAUGGCCCUUGGAAGGCAAUGAAAGGAAAGCCGGGUUCUGGCAUUGAGUCUGCUGUGUGAUUUUGGGCAGGUCACAUAACCUCUCUGGACAUCUGUCUGUUUUGUUUGUCAGCAGGAACUCCCGGUCCCUGCCGUCCCUCCCACUCUGUGGAGAUGAGGAAAGCGUGUGUGGAAAGCACUAAUGUGGGAAAGCAGAUGCUCACAGGGGCUGGAACACAUGUUAUCUGGGGGGUCAGGCCUCGGUCAGCCCGGAGGACACUGAAGAAUAGAACCGAAUGGGCAUUCAGGGGCAUCUAGCAAAUCUGCCCCACUCGAAAAGCGGGGAAGCUGAGGCCCAGCCAGUGACGGAGAAAGCUGGGCUUGGAAGUUGGCGUUCCUUCCGCUGGGCCCCCUUGCUAUUUGAUAAUGACGCUGGCGCACUGACUUCCAGGGCAUUUGUGUGCCAGCCCCAAGCCCUAGCCCUUUCCGUGGGGCGUGCCCACUCACCCUUGUGAGGCGGGUCAGGUGGCGUCCAGCAGGAGAGAGACUGGAACGGGACACUCGCUGUGCCCAAGUCUGCCUGCUUAAACAGCAGCCUUUCCUGGGCCUGGAAAACUUGAGAGGAAAUCUAUGCUGUGCUGACACAGAAGGAGAGACUCUCCUUCAGCACCUUGCUGUCCAUUGGGUGAGAGACAGGAUUAGACAUGUUUGCUGGGCCCCGAGGAGCACGUCCACCUUCUGGGCCCAAUGUGGCUGGCACAGGUGCACGAAGGGGUGGACACCUCUCCCAUGCCACCUCCUCAGCUUGUGCCUGGGGAGGGGGCGGCCCAGAGCAGGUCUCAGGGCAGCGCAGGUGUGAAAUCUGCCACAGGAGGAGGCACUUACAGGGGAGGACAAGGGACCAAGGGGCAUCACCACCUCAGGUUUGACUCCCAAUUCCACCAUUUCACGAACUAUGUGACCCUGGGCACAUGACAACGUAUUUAAGCCUCAGUUUCCCUAUCUGUAAAAACUAGUGUUCAAUAUUGACAUCCGGAGGGUUUGAAAUAACUCGCUGACGCAGGGGAUGCUGAGAGCUAUGGGAGCCGCUGAACAAAGGGUCGUGUGGGCGGUGGGCUCAGCCUGGGGGGCCUGGACCUGUGGAAGGAUGGCUGGGAGGACUCCUCCAUCUCCCCAGCACCCUCGUGCUCACAGGUGGCGGCCCCCAGACACCUCUUGGCAGGGCUCCUGGGGGCCCAGCCCCAGCCCCAUUCGGGCCAGACUGGCUCUGGCAGAGACUCCGCUUUCUCCUCCAAACAAUGUUGUCCUCCCAGCCAAGGGCAGCGAGGCGGGCCAGGGAGCUGACCACGCCUGCCUGCCUGCCCUCCAUCUGGGGCGCAUUCCUCAGUCUGCCCCCAAAGGUUUUGUCGGCUGUGCAGCGGGGUAGGGUCAGGUGUCCCCGCUUCCCCGGCCUCUGGCCGUCAGUCUCUCAGGGGAGCACCACGGCAGCUCAGAUGGCCCUGCACCUUUGUCCUUGAGCUCAGGGAUGCUGAGGGUGGCAGAGCAGAGUCGCCCUCCCCUUCUUCAGGCAGGGCCCUGGCGAAGGGCUCUGGCCUCAGGGUUCUCCCCACAGUGCCCAGAAGCCUGUUGCCCCCAUCCCAGCAGCUCUGAAGAAUAGAGCCCCUUUCGAUCUGUCCGUUCGGAGCCAGCACAGCUCUGGGUGCUAUGGCGACAGCGGGAACGAGAAAGACCCGUCUCUUCUCAUGGAGCUCACAUUCCGGUGCCAGCAACACACAAGUCACCCGACAAGGAAUGCAGGAAAUGCCCAACCCCAAUACUAUCCGGGAUAUCAAGGCUGGAGGCACCCUCUAUGGCAGUUCUUCCCACACGGCCAUUUGACGGAAUGAGACUGAGGCCCAGCAACAGCAAGUGACUUAUUAUCGGUUACUAAUAAAAUGCAAAGUUGGUGCCGAA